GCAGCUCCAGCAACAGCAGCAGCAGCUCCAGCAGUUACAGCAGCAGCAGCUCCAGCAGCAGCAAUUGCAGCAGCAGCAGUUACUGCAGCUCCAGCAGCUGCUCCAGCAAUCCCCACCACAGGCCCCGUUGCCCAUGGCUGUCAGCCGGGGGCUCCCCCCGCAGCAGCCACAGCAGCCGCUUCUGAAUCUCCAGGGCACCAACUCAGCCUCCCUCCUCAACGGCUCCAUGCUGCAGAGAGCUUUGCUUUUACAGCAGUUGCAAGGACUGGACCAGUUUGCAAUGCCACCAGCCACGUAUGACACUGCCGCUCUCACCAUGCCCACAGCAACACUGGGUAACCUCCGAGGCUACGGCAUGGCAUCCCCAGGCCUCGCAGCCCCCAGCCUGACAGCCCCCAGCCUCACACCCCCACAACUGGCCACUCCAAAUUUGCAACAGUUCUUUCCCCAGGCCACUCGCCAGUCCUUGCUGGGACCUCCUCCUGUUGGGGUCCCCAUGAACCCUUCCCAGUUCAACCUUUCAGGACGGAACCCCCAGAAACAGGCCCGGACCUCCUCCUCUACCACCCCCAAUCGAAAGACAAUGCCUGUGGAAGACAAGUCAGACCCCCCAGAGGGGUCUGAGGAAGCCGCAGAGCCCCGGAUGGACACACCAGAAGACCAAGAUUUACCGCCCUGCCCAGAGGACAUCGCCAAGGAAAAACGCACUCCAGCACCUGAGCCUGAGCCUUGUGAGGCGUCCGAGCUGCCAGCAAAGAGAUUGAGGAGCUCAGAAGAGCCCACAGAGAAGGAACCUCCAGGGCAGUUACAGGUGAAGGCCCAGCCGCAGGCCCGGAUGACAGUACCGAAACAGACACAGACACCAGACCUGCUGCCUGAGGCCCUGGAAGCCCAAGUGCUGCCACGAUUCCAGCCACGGGUCCUGCAGGUCCAGGCCCAGGUGCAGUCACAGGCUCAGCCGCGGAUACCA
RNAcentral lists this small RNA (970 nucleotides) under Pan troglodytes (chimpanzee). RNAcentral's name for it is "processed transcript". Lineage: Eukaryota; Metazoa; Chordata; Mammalia; Primates; Hominidae. The record is from RNAcentral.